Molecule: ribosomal RNA, 442 nt
Filed under: uncultured bacterium
Lineage: Bacteria
Description: partial 16S ribosomal RNA
Rfam family: Bacterial small subunit ribosomal RNA
Source: RNAcentral
CCUACGGGGGGCAGCAGUGGGGGAUAUUGCACAAUGGGGGAAACCCUGAUGCAGCGACGCCGCGUGGGCGAAGAAGUAUUUCGGUAUGUAACGCCCUAUCAGCAGGGAAGAAGAAAUGACGGUACCUGAGUAAGAAGCACCGGCUAAAUACGUGCCAGCAGCCGCGGUAAUACGUAUGGUGCAAGCUUUAUCCGGAUUUACUGGGUGGAAAGGGAGCGCAGGCGGCACGGCAAGCCUGAUGUUAAAGCCCGCGGCGCAACCGCGGGACUGAAUUGGGAACUACCGGGCUGGAGGGCCGGAGAGGUAGGCGGAAUUCCGAGUGUAGCGGGGAAAGGCGUAGAUAUUAGGAGGAACACCAGUGGCGAAGGCGGCCUACUGGACGGUGACUGACGCUGAGGCUCGAAAGCGUGGGGAGCAAACAGGAGUAGAUACCCCAGUAGUC